UCGGAGUUGGUGCAGUGGUAGCACGGCGGUCUCCAAAACCGCAGACCGGGGUUCGAUUCCCCGACGCCGGGC
This 72-nucleotide transfer RNA is filed under the name Arthrobacter phage Isolde. Its description in RNAcentral is "tRNA-Trp". It matches the Rfam family "tRNA". From Rfam's summary of the family: Transfer RNA (tRNA) molecules are approximately 80 nucleotides in length. Their secondary structure includes four short double-helical elements and three loops (D, anti-codon, and T loops). Further hydrogen bonds mediate the characteristic L-shaped molecular structure. tRNAs have two regions of fundamental functional importance: the anti-codon, which is responsible for specific mRNA codon recognition, and the 3' end, to which the tRNAs corresponding amino acid is attached (by aminoacyl-tRNA synthetases). tRNAs cope with the degeneracy of the genetic code in two manners: having more than one tRNA (with a specific anti-codon) for a particular amino acid; and 'wobble' base-pairing, i.e. permitting non-standard base-pairing at the 3rd anti-codon position. The record is from RNAcentral. Lineage: Duplodnaviria; Heunggongvirae; Uroviricota; Caudoviricetes. RNAcentral also lists the same sequence under 1 other name.